Mytilus californianus (California mussel) is the source of this 551-nucleotide long non-coding RNA. RefSeq lists it as uncharacterized. The transcript has 3 exons. Lineage: Eukaryota; Metazoa; Mollusca; Bivalvia; Mytilida; Mytilidae. The record is from RefSeq and is a predicted model, not a curated record.
UCAAUAUUUAUCAGUAUAAUAUGCAAAUCAUAUAAAAAUUAUGAUGCUAUAAACAUGAUAAAACUUCUCAUGGUUAAUGAAUAACAUUUAUUUAUAUUUGUAGUCCCAGAUUGAGAAAGACACAUGUUUACCACAGAUGACUCACAUAUCAAGAGCAGAAAGAAAGAAAACAGAUGAACGAAAGAGAAAAGACUAGAAUGACCCUGAAUGUAGAAAAAAACAGGGAACCUCUGGGAAAAUCAGAAAAAGUGAUGAGAGCCUUAUGGCUAUGUUAAAAGAACAGCAAAAAGAGUUUUUAUCAAAUGAAUCAAAGAGAUGGGAGGAAGAAAAGGCUCGAGAGGAGAAAAUGAGAAAAGAGGACAAGGAACAUGAGCUGAAUCUAUUUUCUAUGUUUGCUACAAUUCUUAAAGGACAGCCAUCAUCCCAAAUUACAUCAUGUCAUGCAUCAUCAGUAUCGUCAUUCCCUUCUUCAUCAUUCCAGGAUUCAACAUUCCAGGCUUCACCAUUACAUUCUACAUCAACAUCAUCAACAUAACACAGACCAACCUCAA